UGAGGAAUAUUGGUCAAUGGACGCAAGUCUGAACCAGCCAAGUAGCGUGCAGUAUGACGGCCCUAUGGGUUGUAAACUGCUUUUAUAUGGGGAUAAAGUGGGGAACGUGUUCCCUUUUGCAGGUACCAUAUGAAUAAGGACCGGCUAAUUCCGUGCCAGCAGCCGCGGCAAUACGGAAGGUUCGGGCGCUAUCCGGAUUUAUUGGGUUUAAAGGGAGCGUAGGCCGUUUGGUAAGCGUGUUGUGAAAUGUAGGAGCUCAACUUCUAGAUUGCAGCGCGAACUGUCAGACUUCAGUGCGCACAACGUAGGCGGAAUUCAUGGUGUAGCGGUGAAAUGCUUAGAUAUCAUGAAAAACUCCGAUUGCGAACGCAGCUUACGGGGGCGCAACUGACGCUGAAGCUCGAAGGUGCGGGUAUCGAACAGG
RNAcentral lists this ribosomal RNA (424 nucleotides) under Verrucomicrobiota bacterium. RNAcentral's name for it is "Verrucomicrobia bacterium partial 16S ribosomal RNA". It matches the Rfam family "Bacterial small subunit ribosomal RNA", at positions 355 to 776 of the family's 1533-position model. The record is from RNAcentral. Lineage: Bacteria; Pseudomonadati; Verrucomicrobiota.